Molecule: long non-coding RNA, 2312 nt
Organism: Cryptomeria japonica (Japanese cedar)
Lineage: Eukaryota; Viridiplantae; Streptophyta; Pinopsida; Cupressales; Cupressaceae
Exons: 2
Source: RefSeq, a predicted model, not a curated record
GAGCCUAUAAAAUGAUGCUCUGCCCUCCCUAACAAUGGCAUUUGAUGGCGGUUUAUAUCUCUUUUAUGGUCGUAUUUUUUCUGCCCUAAUUAUUUUUAUGUUGGUAUCAUGCACAUUGCUACCCCGGGCAGACCCGAUAAAAAUGAAGGAUCAGCCCCAUGCGUGUGCUACAUUUAACUGCUGUCCAGUGUUGCAAGUCUGGUGAUUUCCUGCAUCUUAUUUGUGUCAAAGUUGGCAGCUACAUUGCAUUAAAUGUUUCUCAGAAUAAAUUGCGCUGGAAGCAUUGGAGAAUCCGUUGGUUAUAAUAUAAUUCCAUGUAUGCAACAGUCUUCACCAUUCUCUCGAGAUUAAAAUAUAGGCUUUCAGUAUGUACGUCUAGAAGAACUUGUAAAGCCUGAAAAAUAUUGAAGCACGGAUGAUGAACAUUCAUUGUAGCUUCAUCAAGUUUUAGGUGAAGAACAGGAAAGCAGUCAGUCGAAUGCUAAAGUUUAAUGAUUAAAUUGAGUUUAUACUGUGCCCCGUAGACGCUAUUUAGUCAAUCAGGUCUAGAAGCAGCUGGCUUCUCUGAAGUAGUUUCAGAAGCUCAUCUAAAUCCCUAGGGAUUUGAAGUCAAAGAUCUUGAGUAUUAUCCUGUGAUUAUAGUGUAGCCUUCUUUGUUUGGCUUGUAAAAAUGAAUGCAUUGUUAUGAAUCAUAGAUUCAAUUUUGUUUGAAUUAUUUUAUUAUUUUUUGUGUAAGGUUUGGAAAGUGCCUGGGUUUAUAUAUUAGUAUGCUAUUAUCAUUUUUUUUAUUAAAAGAAAUCUUUUAUCUAUAUUGAGAGAAUACAAUUACAAACAAGGGAUGCAAUACAUCAUAGAGAUGUGAGUAGUGUUAGUAGUAGAUGGGGGAGAGAUCUCCCUGAUAGUGUUAGUAGCGUUAGUAGAAUAGGGGGGAGAGAUCUUCAAAAAAGGAGAGAAAAAAAGAUAUGGAUGGAUAGACAGAAAGAAGUAGAGAUAAUAGAAUGAGAGAUAAUCAGACAAUGAAAUAUAGAUAGAGUAGAGAGGAAGAGGUGAGAAUGAAAUAUAGAUAGAGAGGAAGAGGUGAGAUUUGAAGAGAGUGAUGUAGAGGGCAAGAGAGAUAAUGAAUAUAGAUAGGAAGAGGUGGAAGGAUAGAGAAAGGAGAGACAAAGAUAAGGAUAAAUGAUGCAUAAUUAAUAUAAUUAUAGUGAAGGUGAUUAUCUCACUAACUCUCGCACAAACUUUCUUAAAUUUAAUAAAAUGAGUCCCUGCAAACCCUAGACAGAGCCUGUAAAAUGUUGCUCUGCCCUUACUAACAAUGGCAUUUGAUGGCGGUUUAUAUCUCUUCUAUGGUUGUUUUUUUUUCCGCCGUAAUCAUUUUUUAUGUUGGUAUAAUGCACAUUGCUACCCCGGGCAUACCUGAUAAAAAUGAAGGAUCAGCCCCAUGCGUGUGCUACAUUUAACUGCUGUCCAGUGUUGCAAGUAUGGUGAUUUCCUGCACCUUAUUUGUGUCAAAGUUGGCAGCUACAUUACAUUAAAUGUUUCUCAGAAUAAAUUGCGCUGGAAGCAACGGAGAAUUCCUUUGUAUGUUGCUUUUAGGAGGCAGACGAUUUUACGAUCUGUGCUGUGUGUUUUUUUUUAAUAAUUUUGAGGGUUUUUACUUCUUUUGGUUUCAAUUUGGUUUUUGAAAUUUUGUUGAACGGUGAAAUUAUGCAUUUUUCCUGAUAUUAGUCCCGGUAUUUUUAUGAAGGGGCUCGAAUCUCUGGUAGUUAUUGUGAAAUUGGUCUAGAAGCGUCUUUCAAUCUUGUGAAGGGCUGGAAAAUAGAUCUUGAUAAUUGUUUUCAGUAUGGUGUCUUUGUUGAGGUCUAUAAAUAUUUCUUUUAGGUUAUAAUAUAAUUCCAUGUAUGCAACAGUUGUCACCAUUCUCUCGAGAUUAAUAUAUAGGCUUUCGGUGUGUACGUCUGGAAUCACUUGUAAAGCCUGAAAAAUAAUGAAGCACGGAUGAUGAACAUUCAUUGUAGCCUCAUCAAGUUUUAGGUGAAAGAACAGUGAAAACAGUCAGUCGAAUGCCAAAUUUUAAUGAUUAAAUUUAGUUAUACUGUGCCCCGUAGACGCUGUUUAGUGAAUUAGGUCUAGAAGCAGCUGGCUUCUGUGAAGUAGUUUCAGAAGCACAUCUAAAUCCCUAGGAAUUGAAGUCAAGAUUUUGAGUACUAUCCUGUGAUUAUAGUGUAGCCUUAUUUGUUUGGCUUGUAAAAAUGAAUUUAUUAUUAUGAAAUGUAGAUUCUAUUAUGUUUGAAAAUAAUAAGAUUUAAUUUUAA